CCUGAGUGAUGGGAAAAGAGAAAGAACACACACACAAGGUACGGUGUGCAUGUGAACGCCUGAAAGACAUCUGGAUCAUUCUCCACUUUGUUCGUGCUGGAAUUAGAAGUGUGCUACCAUAUCUGCCCAGUGUUGAGGAUUUUAAUUCUGAUCAUGGCUGCUCUGGUAAGAGACCACAUCCAAAGAUCUUCUUGGUCUGUGUGAUCCAGCUGGAAUAUAGACACACCUUUAA
Long non-coding RNA from Mastomys coucha (southern multimammate mouse), 232 nucleotides. RefSeq lists it as uncharacterized. Lineage: Eukaryota; Metazoa; Chordata; Mammalia; Rodentia; Muridae. The record is from RefSeq and is a predicted model, not a curated record. The transcript has 3 exons.